RNAcentral lists this ribosomal RNA (447 nucleotides) under uncultured bacterium. RNAcentral describes it as "partial 16S ribosomal RNA". It matches the Rfam family "Bacterial small subunit ribosomal RNA", at positions 329 to 793 of the family's 1533-position model. The record is from RNAcentral.
CGCCAGACUCCUACGGGAGGCAGCAGUGGGGGAUAUUGCACAAUGGGGGGAACCCUGAUGCAGCGACGCCGCGUGGGUGAAGAAGCGCCUCGGCGCGUAAAGCCCUGUCAGCAGGGAAGAAAAUGACGGUACCUGAAGAAGAAGCCCCGGCUAACUACGUGCCAGCAGCCGCGGUAAUACGUAGGGGGCAAGCGUUAUCCGGAUUUACUGGGUGUAAAGGGAGCGUAGACGGAAAGGCAAGUCAGAAGUGAAAACCCAAGGCUCAACCAUGGGACUGCCUUUGAAACUGUCAAACUAGAGUACGGGAGAGGUAAGAGGAAUUCCUAGUGUAGCGGUGAAAUGCGUAGAGAUCGGGAGGAACACCAGUGGCGAAGGCGGCCUGCUGGGCUUUAACUGACACUCAGGCACGAAAGCAUGGGUAGCAAACAGGAUUAGAUACCCCCGUAA